GCUGUGUUGGUAUUUGCUACAGAGGGACAAGUAGAAAGCCAAGUUGGGGGUGGGGGCAAAUAGCAAUCUUCUAAAGUUACCUAUUUUUUUUUUCUUCAGCAACAUAAUUCAAAUUCUUUACCCUUGUCUGUAAAGUUGAUUCUGUCUCUUAUACAUUUUGCCUGUGAAAAGUGUAACGGUUAUCAUCUUAUUACACUUCCCGUAUGCCAGACACGGAGUUCAGUGCUUUGUGUGCCUUAUUAUCAAUGAUGCUGGCUACCAUUGAUCCAUUCCCAGUUCUGGGCUCUGGUUCAAGUGUUCUACAUAGAGUAUCUCAUUUAUUCCCUCCAUCACCCCUAGAGGUAGGUGUUAUUAUCUCCGUUCUACAUGUGAGGAAACUACGGCAGAGAGAGGUGAACUUGCCAAGUGGUCAUAAGGCAGAGCUGAGGUUCAAAGCCAGGGUUGUCCCACUGCAGAGCCUGAGAUCAUAACCACUGCUUUCCGUGCUCUGGGUAAGUAGCUCUGUCUGCCCAAGCAUGGCAUUCAUAAAAUGGCCUAUAAACUCCUAUGAUCAGUAUUAAGUACUGGCAGCAGCGUGUGACCAGUGCAUGAUUGAGCAUUGCCAAAUGCGAUUAGUUGGAGUCAUUUGUGGUUUGACUGGUCUCAGUGUCAGUUGUGACACAUGCUCACACGCUCACACAUGCUCACAGGUUCCCUUUGGGAAAUUGUGGUAUGUGUUGUUUUUUUUUUAAUUUUCUAGUUUUUUAAAAAUAACAGGCUCAUUUAAGAUGUAAUCCAUCUGCCACACAACUCCCUAAUUUUAAGUGUACAAUGAAAUGAUUUUUGUAUAUUCACAGACUUGUGCAGCCAUCACUAUAACCAAUUUCAGAACACUUUCAUCACCCCCCAAAAGAAGCCCCAUACCCAUAGACCCUCCUCGUUUUCUUCCAAACUCCCC
This 937-nucleotide long non-coding RNA is filed under the name Marmota monax (woodchuck). The record is from RNAcentral. Lineage: Eukaryota; Metazoa; Chordata; Mammalia; Rodentia; Sciuridae.